This 495-nucleotide ribosomal RNA is filed under the name uncultured bacterium. RNAcentral describes it as "bacterial SSU rRNA". It matches the Rfam family "Bacterial small subunit ribosomal RNA", at positions 1017 to 1509 of the family's 1533-position model. The record is from RNAcentral.
GGUUCGGCCGGAUUUCACACAGGUGUUGCAUGGCUGUCGUCAGCUCGUGUCGUGAGAUGUUGGGUUAACGUCCCGCAACGAGCGUAACCCUCAUCCUUAGUUGCCAUCAGGUAAUGCUGAGCACUUUAAGGAAACUGCUAGUGAUAAACUGGAGGAAGGUGGGGAUGAUGUCAAGUCAUCAUGGCCCUUAUGGAGUGGGCUACACACGUGCUACAAUGGUGGCUACAAUGGGCUGCAAAGUCGCGAGGCCAAGCUAAUCCCUUAAAAGCCAUCUCAGUUCGGAUUGUACUCUGCAACUCGAGUGCAUGAAGUUGGAAUCGCUAGUAAUCGUGGAUCAGCAUGCCACGGUGAAUACGUUCUCGGGUCUUGUACACACUGCCCGUCACGCCAUGGGAAUUGGUUUCACUCGAAGCUAAUGACCUAACCGCAAGGAGGGAGUUAUUUAAAGUGGGAUCAGUGACUGGGGUGAAGUCGUAACAAGGUAAGCGUAGUGCU